CAGUGUUACAGCUCUUUUAGAAUUUGUACAGCAGGUUUUCUGGUUUCUACCAGAAAACCCCC
Molecule: small nuclear RNA, 62 nt
Organism: Chlorocebus sabaeus (green monkey)
Lineage: Eukaryota; Metazoa; Chordata; Mammalia; Primates; Cercopithecidae
Gene: U7
Rfam family: U7 small nuclear RNA
About the family: Animal histone pre-mRNAs are spliced by a different mechanism than nuclear pre-mRNAs and self-splicing introns. This processing involves the U7 snRNP, which contains only one RNA species: U7.
Source: Ensembl